This 253-nucleotide ribosomal RNA is filed under the name uncultured bacterium. RNAcentral describes it as "partial 16S ribosomal RNA". It matches the Rfam family "Bacterial small subunit ribosomal RNA", at positions 524 to 776 of the family's 1533-position model. The record is from RNAcentral.
UACGAAGGGGGCGAGCGUUGUUCGGAUUUACUGGGCGUAAAGGGCGCGCAGGCGGCUCAUUUUGUCAGGCGUGAAAGCCCCGGGCUUAACCUGGGAACUGCGUUUGAUACGGAUGGGCUAGAGUUCGGGAGAGGAGAAUGGAAUUCCUGGUGUAGCGGUGAAAUGCGCAGAUAUCAGGAGGAACACCGGUGGCGAAGGCGGUUCUCUGGGCAUUACCUGACGCUGAGGAGCGAAAGUGUGGGGAGCGAACAGG